AACCACUAACCGGACAUGUUGUCACAAGGAGAGUUUUCGUUGACUUGUAUAUUCUGAAGGAGAACCUAAACCUCACUGCUGUCAACUGCAGCUCUGAAAGCAGUGCAUCAUUGCUAACAAAACUCUGGUUGACAUAGAUACUGUUACCAUUCGAUCUUCCUCCUUCAAUCUUUUUGAUAUCUUCAAAACACAUAUCAUCAUCUUCCUCAUCCUCAUC
RNAcentral lists this long non-coding RNA (217 nucleotides) under Brassica napus (rape). Its description in RNAcentral is "long non-coding RNA (BNAP_LNC010184)". The record is from RNAcentral. Lineage: Eukaryota; Viridiplantae; Streptophyta; Magnoliopsida; Brassicales; Brassicaceae.